Molecule: ribosomal RNA, 195 nt
Filed under: uncultured crenarchaeote
Lineage: Archaea; Thermoproteati; Thermoproteota
Description: partial 16S ribosomal RNA
Rfam family: Archaeal small subunit ribosomal RNA
Source: RNAcentral
CCGAGUGGUGUGGACGUUUAUUGGGCCUAAAGCAUCCGUAGCUGGCUGGACAAGUCCCCUGUUAAACCCACCGAUUUAAUCGUUGGCUUGCGGGGGAUACUGCUCGGCUAGGGGACGAGAGAGGCAGACGGUAUUCCCGGGGUAGGGGUGAAAUCCUAUAAUCCCGGGAAGACCACCAGUGGCGAAGGCUGUCGG